CCCGAUAGCUCAGUUGGUAAAGAAUCUGCCUACAAUGCAGGAGACUCAGGUUCAAUUCCUGGGUCAGGA
This 69-nucleotide transfer RNA is filed under the name Ovis aries (sheep). It matches the Rfam family "tRNA". From Rfam's summary of the family: Transfer RNA (tRNA) molecules are approximately 80 nucleotides in length. Their secondary structure includes four short double-helical elements and three loops (D, anti-codon, and T loops). The record is from Rfam by way of RNAcentral. Lineage: Eukaryota; Metazoa; Chordata; Mammalia; Artiodactyla; Bovidae.